UUGACCUCGGAUCAGGUAGGGAUACCCGCUGAACUUAAGCAUAUCAAUAAGCGGAGGAAAAGAAACCAACAGGGAUUGCCUCAGUAACGGCGAGUGAAGCGGCAAGAGCUCAAAUUUGAAAGCUGGCCCCCUCGGGGUCCGCAUUGUAAUUUGCAGAGGAUGCUUCGGGAGUGGCCCCCAUCUAAGUGCCCUGGAACGGGCCGUCAUAGAGGGUGAGAAUCCCGUCUGGGAUGGGGUGCCCACGCCCGUGUGAAGCUCCUUCGACGAGUCGAGUUGUUUGGGAAUGCAGCUCUAAAUGGGUGGUAAAUUUCAUCUAAAGCUAAAUACUGGCCGGAGACCGAUAGCGCACAAGUAGAGUGAUCGAAAGAUGAAAAGCACUUUGAAAAGAGAGUUAAACAGCACGUGAAAUUGUUGAAAGGGAAGCGCUUGCGACCAGACUCGCCCACGGGGUUCAGCCGGCAUUCGUGCCGGUGUACUUCCCCGCGGGCGGGCCAGCGUCGGUUUGGGCGGCCGGUCAAAGGCCCUUGGAAUGUACCGCCCCCCGGGGCGGCUUAUAGCCAAGGGUGCCAUGCGGCCAGCCCGGACCGAGGAACGCGCUUCGGCUCGGACGCUGGCAUAAUGGUCGUAAGCGACCCGUCUUGAAACACGGACCAAGGAGUCUAACAUCUACGCGAGUGUUCGGGUGUCAAACCCGUGCGCGCAGUGAAAGCGAACGGAGGUGGGAACCCCUCGGGGCGCACCAUCGACCGAUCCUGAUGUCUUCGGAUGGAUUUGAGUAAGAGCGUAGCUGUUGGGACCCGAAAGAUGGUGAACUAUGCCUGAAUAGGGCGAAGCCAGAGGAAACUCUGGUGGAGGCUCGCAGCGGUUCUGACGUGCAAAUCGAUCGUCAAAUUUGGGUAUAGGGGCGAAAGACUAAUCGAACCAUCUAGUAGCUGGUUCCUGCCGAAGUUUCCCUCAGGA
This 960-nucleotide ribosomal RNA is filed under the name Penicillium sp. PAB-2014c. Its description in RNAcentral is "eukaryotic LSU rRNA". It matches the Rfam family "Eukaryotic large subunit ribosomal RNA", at positions 1 to 978 of the family's 3401-position model. The record is from RNAcentral. Lineage: Eukaryota; Fungi; Ascomycota; Eurotiomycetes; Eurotiales; Aspergillaceae.